Phyllostomus discolor (pale spear-nosed bat) is the source of this 139-nucleotide small nucleolar RNA. RefSeq annotates it as small nucleolar RNA SNORA29. The record is from RefSeq and is a predicted model, not a curated record. The transcript has a single exon. NCBI's taxonomy places the organism in Eukaryota, Metazoa, Chordata, Mammalia, Chiroptera, Phyllostomidae.
UCUCCCAUUUGACUACCACAUUUUCUCCUAAUAAUCGAUUUUAGUGCCCAUGCAUAUGAGGUAGAUUAAAAUUGCCAUGAUCUGAAAAGGGGGGUUUAUUUGUGUUCUCCUCCUGUAUGAAAUGGCUGAACAGAAAAAA